GGCCUGGCAUUGGGGUCAAUCAACACCCGCCCUGUUAUUAUACACCUUGUGGGCACAGGUGGCUCCGGCCCCACCCAGGGCCCUGCAUCUCCUCUCAUGCCCCGCGUCCCCAGGCUUUCCGGCAGCUGUCGCACCGCUUCCAUGGCAAGGGCUCAGGCAAGAUGAAGACAGAGCGGCGGAUGAAGAAGCUGGACGAGGAGGCGCUCCUGAAGAAGAUGAGCUCCAGCGACACGCCCCUGGGCACCGUGGCCCUGCUCCAGGAGAAGCAGAAGGCUCAGAAGACCCCCUACAUCGUGCUCAGCGGCAGCGGCAAGAGCAUGAACGCGAACACCAUCACCAAGUGACAGCGCCCUCCCGCCCCGGCCCUGCCUCAACCUUCAUAUUAAAUAAAGCUCCCUCCUUA
This 403-nucleotide small RNA is filed under the name Pan troglodytes (chimpanzee). Its description in RNAcentral is "retained intron". Lineage: Eukaryota; Metazoa; Chordata; Mammalia; Primates; Hominidae. The record is from RNAcentral.